Molecule: long non-coding RNA, 524 nt
Organism: Theobroma umbraticum
Lineage: Eukaryota; Viridiplantae; Streptophyta; Magnoliopsida; Malvales; Malvaceae
Source: RefSeq, a predicted model, not a curated record
GUCUCAUUGACUGUUUUGUUUAUGAUUGAAGUUAACCUUUUUGAUGAAGAUGGCGCCCCUCACAUGUUUCUUUUCUUUGGGAAUUCUGUAAUUUGCAAAUGGAAGCAUACCCAGUAUUUAUUACUUUGUUAUUGAGCUUCCUCCAUGGACUGAUAUUCUCAAGACUGCUAGAUUCAAGGAGCUUCCUCCCUAUGACCAUGAUCGGUACUAUGUCAGAGAUGGGGAAGAAGGAUCACAUCCCACGGCCAGCGAGAUCUUGACUCAAGUUGCUGGGCGGAUAGUUGUCGCCCCUUGAUCAAUGAGUUGUAGGUAGUUCUACCAUACAAUGCAACAAUUUUUUUGGUUUGUUUCUUUUAGAUUAUCACCAGGUUGAAAUUGAAUCAAUGUAGUUCCCUAGUUUUAGAAAACGAGUUACAAUGUCCUAUGUUGAAUCAAUGCAGUAUUUCUUAGAACCCGGAGAAACAUUCCUUGCAGACUUAUCCUAUUCCAACUUUAGUUAGGAUUUUCACUUGAAUUAGUUGUAA